AACUAACGCUAUUAUUGAUACAGUUUCUGUACUUUAUUGGUAUGAGAAGCUUCCGGAAUAAUAAUCCGUGAUUAUUGUUCUGGAUAUUUUUGGAAUAAAA
This 100-nucleotide unclassified non-coding RNA is filed under the name Blechomonas wendygibsoni. Its description in RNAcentral is "trans-spliced leader sequence SL". Lineage: Eukaryota; Euglenozoa; Kinetoplastea; Trypanosomatida; Trypanosomatidae. The record is from RNAcentral.